Non-coding RNA from Circinella umbellata, 73 nucleotides. The record is from the annotation of a GenBank genome assembly. NCBI's taxonomy places the organism in Eukaryota, Fungi, Mucoromycota, Mucoromycetes, Mucorales, Lichtheimiaceae.
GGGGGUAUAACUCAGUGGCUAGAGUGGAAGAUUGCAGAUCUUCUGGUCCAGAGUUCGAAUCUCUGUGCCCCCU